This 412-nucleotide long non-coding RNA is filed under the name Homo sapiens (human). RNAcentral describes it as "HSALNT0114731". Lineage: Eukaryota; Metazoa; Chordata; Mammalia; Primates; Hominidae. The record is from RNAcentral.
AAUAGCUAUGCUUUUUAUGAACAGGAAAAGUUUGAGGCAGAAAUAGACACAUUCAAGAAAGAGAGAGCAGUUACAUAAAACCUAAACCAGCUUCAGAAUGUAACUGCUCAAGAGGUGUAGCUAUUUUUGGUUCUUUAACAGGUUUAAGCAUGCUAACAAGUUCCACCAUAAACAGGCACUAAAAAGGAAACCCCCCAGUUAUAAUGACAUAAUGUGCAGAAAUAAUUCACCAAGGCUCAGAAGUAAGCAUGACAGAGAAGUGACCUUGCACAGCACCAUUCAGAGGUCACAGAUAAGGAGCUGGCGCUGUCUGGCUGGAGCUGGAAGAGGGAUGAAGAUGUGCAGGGACCUGCAAGGAGUGGAACUCCCUGAGUCAUUCCUCUGCCUGAAGCCCUGCUUUGAUGUGUUUAAG